Molecule: long non-coding RNA, 4648 nt
Filed under: Sus scrofa (pig)
Lineage: Eukaryota; Metazoa; Chordata; Mammalia; Artiodactyla; Suidae
Description: lncRNA (ENSSSCG00000062023.1)
Source: RNAcentral
CAGGGAUAGCAUUUUGCUCUAAAGACAGUUGGAGAUGCUUUUUCAUCAUCUGCAGCAGGGAGAGGCCUGACCAGCACUGGGGAGUCUGGAAGCUUUCAAAGUGGCAGCGAAGCUUACGCAGAUCGGAUGCCCGCCUUCCCAUCUUUCCACAUUUGGAAAGUGCCAGCUCUCAGGGAGGCAUGGAGCCCUGAGCAGGAUGUCUAGCCUGGCGGGCAUGGUGUGUGAUCCCAGGGGCUCUUCUGCAGGUGCCCUCCUGGGGGGGCUGUGCAAAGACCAGGUUACUGCGUGGUCACAGAGUGUUGUGCAAUGAGACUGUAUUUGCUGCAGAUGUGUGGAGGGGAGUCAGAAGCUAUCUCUUGUCUGUUGUUUGAUUACUACUUCUGUGUCCAAAACAACCCCCAGCAGUUCCCAUUGUGGCUCAGUGGGUUAAGAAACCAACUAGUAUCCAUGAGGAUGUGGGUUCAAUCCCUGGCCUCACUCAGUUAAGGAUCUGGUGUUGCCACAAGCUGUGGCGUAGGUCACAGAUGUGGCUUGGAUCUGGUGUUGCUGUAGCUGCAGGGUAGGCUGGCAGCUGCAGCUCCGAUUUGACCCCUAGCCCGGGAACUUCCAUAUGCUGUGGGUGUCGCUGUAAAAAGAAAAAAAAAUCAACCCCCAAACUUAGUGGUUUAACACAACUACCAUUUGAUUAUAUGUAGGAUUCUGCGGGUCAGAUAUUCAGACAGAGUGGGGAUGGCUUUCUCUGCUCCAUGAUAUCUGGGAUAUCAGCUGGGAGAGACUGGGCAGCUGGGAUCACGCACCUGGACUGGGGCUAGCAUGGCCACAGGUGGGCCUCCCCAUGUGCAUGGUGGUCUUGGAAUGUUUGCAGGGGUCUGAGCAUGUGCCACACAAAAGACAGAAGCUGCACGGCCUUUUAUGUCCUCACCUGAGACAUUGUAUCACUUCCACCGUAUUCAGUUGGUUAAAGCUAAUUCAAGGGGAGGGCCCUAGAACCCCAACUCUCAAUAGUAGGAAUGUUAAAGAAUUUCACGGCCAUUUUUUUUACUGCCACAUCUAUCAUUCCUCAUGUGAGUAUUAGCCCAUAGAAUAAGGUCACAUGCAUUUGGAUUUUCAGGAGACCCUCGGCAGAAUCCGCUCAUCCUAAAGGGAAAUUUGCCAUAUUGUUGUCAAACAUAUGUGUUUCUCCAGGAAUCCUAAGAUAUUUCAGACAAAUAUUCCUGCAUAUCUGUUACCGACCCAAGAAGAGUCAACCAAGGACUACCAGACGUGGGAAGGAAACCUGCUAGUUAAAAGCAAAUACCACCAAAAUAAAUCGGGAAAAAAAGGAAUGAGAGGAAACAGAGAUAAUGCACCAAACAAGAGAACUUUAGAGGUUUGUUAAUGAAUAUCUUCAGGAAGAGCGAAAGUGGGAUGGAAUUCCACGGGCACAAGCCAGGGCUCUCAUCCACGGUGGAAUUUGUUCUGUGAGACUGUGGUUUGAAGGAUGACCCCCAGUGACCUUCAGUCUUGUGUAAUCGCCUCCCUUUUGAGUUGCAGGGGGUAGGGGGUCCUGUGAGUGGGAAGAGAUAUCAUUCCAGCAAUGACGUUUCCUCACAUGGCAAAGGCCAGAGAGCCUGGGUGGGCUUGAUCUAAACGUGCGAGACCUUUCAAAGCAAUGCGUUUUCUCUGUAACAGAAGAGGAAGCAAGAGAUUUGAAGCCCACUAGUGCUUGCUGGCUUGGAAUACAGAGGGGGCCGCAUACCCUGGAAUUUUUCUCCAUGAACAGAGGAAAGCUUUUGUGCCGAAGCCAGAAAGAAAGUGACGCUUCAGUCCUACACCCACAGGGAUCUGAAUUCAGCCAUCAGCCUUCACGAGCUCAGAAACGUAUUCUCCCCAAGAGCCUCCAGGUGACAGCCCAGUCUGGACAAUAUGUUGCCUUUGGCUUCAUGAAGCCCUGGGAAGAGAAUCCAGCAGAGCCUGCCUGUACUUCUUACCUGAAGAUCUUUGCAAUAAAAAUGAGUAUGUUUUAAGCGGCAAAAUUGUGGUAACUUGUCAUCCAACUUGGAUUGAGUCCUUCCCAAAUCCAUAUGUUGAAGUUCUGAUCCCCCAGUGGAUCAUAGUAAGAAAACAAAGUUAAAUGAGGCCGUAAGGGUAGGGCGCUCGUCUGAUGGGAUUAUUGUCCUUAUAAGAAGAGACACCAAAUCCUCUCUUCUCUCUGUCUCUGUCUCUACUUCGGUCUCUCUCUCUCUCUAUCAUGUGAGGACACAGCAAGAAGAUGGCCCCUUCGAGCCAGAAACACAACCCUUAUAAUUAAUUUUAUUUGUCAAUUUGGCUGAGCUGCGGGGUGCCCAGAUACAUGCUCAAACGUUAUUCUGGGUGUGCUGGUGAGAGUCUCUCUGGGUGAGAUUAGCCUUUGAAUCGAUAGUUCCAAUGUUGGAGAUGCCACCCAAUUUGUUGACAGCCUGAAUGGAAUAAAAAGGUUGAGUAAGGCGACGUCCCCCUUUGAACUGGGAUAGUGGUGUUUCUCCUGCCUUAGAGCCCAGACAGGAGCUAUACCUUCAGCUCUCCCGGCUCUCCCACUUGCUGACUGCAGGUCUUGGGGCUUCUCAGCCUCCACAAUUGUGUGAGCCACUUCCUUACAAUGAUCGCUUCCCAUAGAGAGAUCCCGUUGAUUCUGUUUCUCUGGAGAACACGGACUAAUACAUCUUUCAUGAGAAACCAACCCUGCUGGACCUGGAUCUGGGAAUUCCAGGAUCCAGAACAGGGAGAAAGUUAAUUUCUGUUGUUUAAGCCCCCCACCUCCAACAUAGAGAGUCACGAAGACAGUGCCUGUGCUGAGGGGAAGAACUGGAGGUGAAGAGAAAGGGAAGUCGGACAACAAGAAAAACCUGGAAAUGAAAAACAAAAGAGAAAAUAGAAGGUGAAGUUCAUCUUACGGAGCAGAAGGAAGAGGCAGGAACAAUGACAGAAAGGACCCAUUUUAGAGGCUCCGGGCCGAGCCAACACGACUUCCAGAAGGAAAGAAGAAAGAAAAUGGACAUUGAGGAAAUUAGCAGAAAUAACAGGUGAUCAUUUCCAAGAGGUGCUGGACACAGUCUUCCGAAUGAAAGAGUCCACCAGGUGCUGAGCAGCGUGGAUAGGGACCCAUUACUGGAUGCAUUCUUGUGGAAAUUCAGGACAGCAGGAGUGGCUCAGUCUAGCAAACCCAACUAGGACCCACCAGGACUUGAGUUCCACCCUUGGCCUCUCUCAGUGGGUUAAGGACCUGGUGUUUCUGUGCGCUGUGGUGUAGAUCACAGACGUGGCUUGGAUCCCUCGUUGCUGUAGCUGUGGCAUGGGCCAGCAGCUGCAGCUCUGAGUCGACCUCUAGUCCGGGAACUUCUAUAUGCCACAGGUGUGGCCCUAAACAAACAAACAAACAAACAAAUCAGGGCAACAUACAUAGGGAGGAUUUAGGAAUUUUUAGAGAGGAAAAAAUAAAUCAGUCACCUGUAGAAGAAGAGAGAUAAAACUGACAUUAGAUUUCUCAUUAGCAUCACCGGAGCAAAUCCUGAAAACUCCUUAGGGAAAUUACUUUUUCUUUUGAGAUUUAUUAUGGAAAAUUCCAAAUAUCAACAAAACUUGAAAGCAUCGUAUACCGGAUGCACUGUGUCCAUCACCAAGGGUCGUCAAUUGAUGGCCAAAUUUGGUUCAUCUACACUCCUACUGACCACCCUCUCUCCCGGUGCCUUGGUUAUUUUGAGGCAAAUUCCAGGCAUCUUAGCAUUUCAUCUGUAACUAUUUAAGUGUGUAUCUCUAAAAGGUAAGGAUUCUUAGGGAGACACAAACUACAGUACCGUUUUCAUGCCUAAAACUGCUGACAAUAAUUGUUCAGUACCAGCAAGUAUUCAGAUGUUGCUCAUUGUUUCAUAAAUGUGUGUGUGUGUGUGUAUUUUAAUAGAUUGUUUAAAUCAGGAUCCAAGUAAGGUCCAUACAUUGCAAUUUGUUGAUCUCGUCUUUUUUACAUCUUUAUGGCCCCCAAAUCUUAUUUUUUCCCGUGGGAAAAAUUUGUUGGAGUGUCUGGGUCCUUUGUCCGGCCGAGGUUCCCACAGUCUGGACUUUGCUGAGUGUGGACGUGUUGUGUUAUUCCCGUGUUUACCCCACGUGUUUGAAAAUUGAUAGAUCAAGAGCCUUGAUCAAAUUCAGGUUUCUUUCCCCUACCCCACCCCACCCCACAGACUAUUUCAUUAUUAGUAGUGUGUACUUCUGUCAGGAGCAACAUAUGUGUCUGGAUGUCUCUUCUGUUGUGAUGUUAGCACUAUUGAUUAUUGCACAGAUCCGAUCAUUCACCAGGUGGUACAAAAUGGGAAUCUAUCAUUUCUUCCUCCUGUAUUAGCAACACUCUUCCCCAAAUAGAAGCUUUCUCUCAUCAACUGUUUCACACCUGGAGGUACAGUUGGUGUUGGCAAGGCAGAAAAAAAAUGCUUUAACUUUUUCUUUUUAAAAUAAGUUAAUGAGGAGUUCCUGCUGUGGCACAGUGGGAUCAGCGGCAUCUCUGGAGCACUGGGAUGCAGGCUUGAUCCCCAGCCCGGCACAGUGGUUUAAGGAUCUGGCGCUGCCACCGCUGCUGCAUAGGUGGCAACUGCAGCUCGGAUCUAAUCCUGGCCUCGGAACUCCAUAUGCCUCAGGGUGG